AGAGGUUUAGGUUAACCUAAGACCAAGGGCCUUCAAAGCCCUAAGCGAGAGUGAAAACCUCCCAACCCCUG
This 71-nucleotide transfer RNA is filed under the name Linophryne bicornis. RNAcentral's name for it is "tRNA-Trp". It matches the Rfam family "tRNA". From Rfam's summary of the family: Transfer RNA (tRNA) molecules are approximately 80 nucleotides in length. Their secondary structure includes four short double-helical elements and three loops (D, anti-codon, and T loops). RNAcentral also lists the same sequence under 1 other name. The record is from RNAcentral. Lineage: Eukaryota; Metazoa; Chordata; Actinopteri; Lophiiformes; Linophrynidae.